RNAcentral lists this ribosomal RNA (645 nucleotides) under Triticum aestivum (bread wheat). RNAcentral's name for it is "partial small subunit ribosomal RNA". Lineage: Eukaryota; Viridiplantae; Streptophyta; Magnoliopsida; Poales; Poaceae. The record is from RNAcentral.
AUGUCAAACUGGAGGCCAUAUUUCCUGAUGAAAAAUUAUUUGGUAGUACUCAUGAAACUCCAUGGCUUUGAAAAUAAAGAUGUUUUAAAAAGAGCUCAAACGGUUUGCAAAUCGUGUGGCAGGUGCCGUUGCACAGAGGAAAUCCAUCCAUCCAGCUACACCUAUCUGACGCUAGCGGGAAGGGGAGGGCAUGAAGAUCCGGAAAGACCGGCCAGGGGCAAAGAAGAUGGAGGCUUAGGAACUCGGGCGGACUCACCGGCGGAGGGCCAGAGGACGUCGCUGGCGCUGACGCCGCGGGGCGACGCCGGCGUGACAUUGGCCGCUGACGCCGCCGCCGUCGCGACGACGUGGAGGUCUCGCCUCCUCGUCCUCAUGGCGUCGCCGGUGGUGGUCUUGCGCGAGAGGAGAUGCGCCUGCCCGCCGCCGCCGCCAUUGGCGUGCAGGAGGAAGACAGGUGAAGAGGAGGGCGCGUGGGACGCCGCUGCCAGACACCGUGACCCUGCUCCUGCCAAGAUACUGCUGCAGCCAAUGCCGGGCAGCUUCAGCAGUGCCAUGGUUUUGUCCCUCUCUCCCUCUACUCUUCUUCCUGUUUCGGGUACCCAGAGCCUGUCUCCUAUAGACUAUGGUUUCAAAGAACCUAAUUAA